GGGUAAGGGCCUACUUAGACGAAGACGGGUACGGGGAAUGAGGGUUUGAUUCCGGAGAGGGAGCCUGAGAGAUGGCUACCAGGACCAAGGUCAGCAGCAGGCGCGAAAAUUAUCGAAGCCCGCCUAGGGGCGAUAGUGAGGAGACGUGUAUAACGAAGUACGUGUAAAGAACGUGCUAAUAACUGGAGGUCAAGUCUGGUGCCAGCAGCCGCG
This 213-nucleotide ribosomal RNA is filed under the name Dictyocoela duebenum (nom. nud.). RNAcentral's name for it is "Dictyocoela duebenum partial small subunit ribosomal RNA". It matches the Rfam family "Microsporidia small subunit ribosomal RNA", at positions 190 to 404 of the family's 1311-position model. Lineage: Eukaryota; Fungi; Microsporidia. The record is from RNAcentral.